RNAcentral lists this ribosomal RNA (463 nucleotides) under uncultured bacterium. RNAcentral's name for it is "partial 16S ribosomal RNA". It matches the Rfam family "Bacterial small subunit ribosomal RNA", at positions 28 to 507 of the family's 1533-position model. The record is from RNAcentral.
GACGAACGCUGGCGGCGUGCUUAACACAUGCCAGUCGAACGGAAAGGCCUUUUCGGAGGUACUCGAGUGGCGAACGGGUGAGUAACACGUGGGUGAUCUGCCCUGCACUCUGGGAUAAGCCUGGGAAACUGGGUCUAAUACCGGAUAGGACCGCACUUUAGUGUGUGUGGUGGAAAGUUGUUUCGGUGUAGGAUGAGCCCGCGGCCUAUCAGCUUGUUGGUGGGGUAAUGGCCUACCAAGGCGGCGACGGGUAGCCGGACUGAGAGGUUGGUCGGCCACAUUGGGACUGAGAUACGGCCCAGACUCCUACGGGAGGCAGCAGUGGGGAAGAUUGCACAAUGGGCGCAAGCCUGAUGCAGCGACGCCGCGUGGGGGAUGACGGCCUUCGGGUUGGAAACUCCUUUCGCCAGGGACGAAGCGUUUUGUGACGGUACCUGGAGAAGAAGCGCCGGCUAACUACGUG